This 508-nucleotide ribosomal RNA is filed under the name uncultured bacterium. Its description in RNAcentral is "partial 16S ribosomal RNA". It matches the Rfam family "Bacterial small subunit ribosomal RNA", at positions 28 to 507 of the family's 1533-position model. The record is from RNAcentral.
GACGAACGCUGGCGGCGUGCCUAAUACAUGCAAGUCGAACGCUUCUUUCCUCCCGAGUGCUUGCACUCAAUUGGAAAGAGGAGUGGCGGACGGGUGAGUAACACGUGGGUAACCUACCCAUCAGGGGGGGAUAACACUUGGAAACAGGUGCUAAUACCGCAUAACAGUUUAUGCCGCAUGGCAUAAGAGUGAAAGGCGCUUUCGGGUGUCGUUGAUGGAUGGACCCGCGGUGCAUUAGCUAGUUGGUGAGGUAACGGCUCACCAAGGCCACGAUGCAUAGCCGACCUGAGAGGGUGAUCGGCCACACUGGGACUGAGACACGGCCCAGACUCCUACGGGAGGCAGCAGUAGGGAAUCUUCGGCAAUGGACGAAAGUCUGACCGAGCAACGCCGCGUGAGUGAAGAAGGUUUUCGGAUCGUAAAACUCUGUUGUUAGAGAAGAACAAGGACGUUAGUAACUGAACGUCCCCUGACGGUAUCUAACCAGAAAGCCACGGCUAACUACGUG